Molecule: ribosomal RNA, 429 nt
Filed under: Gemmatimonadota bacterium
Lineage: Bacteria; Pseudomonadati; Gemmatimonadota
Description: Gemmatimonadetes bacterium partial 16S ribosomal RNA
Rfam family: Bacterial small subunit ribosomal RNA
Source: RNAcentral
UAGGGAAUCUUCGGCAAUGGACGAAAGUCUGACCGAGCAACGCCGCGUGAGUGAAGAAGGUUUUCGGAUCGUAAAACUCUGUUGUUAGAGAAGAACAAGGACGUUAGUAACUGAACGUCCCCUGACGGUAUCUAACCAGAAAGCCACGGCUAACUACGUGCCAGCAGCCGCGGUAAUACGUAGGUGGCAAGCGUUGUCCGGAUUUAUUGGGCGUAAAGCGAGCGCAGGCGGUUUCUUAAGUCUGAUGUGAAAGCCCCCGGCUCAACCGGGGAGGGUCAUUGGAAACUGGGAGACUUGAGUGCAGAAGAGGAGAGUGGAAUUCCAUGUGUAGCGGUGAUAUGCGUAACUAUAUGUAGGAACACCAGUGGCGAAGGCGGCUCUCUGGUCUGUAACUGACGCUGAGGCUCGAAAGCGUGGGGAGCAAACAGG